UUCACUCUCUUUUCAGACUCAGCCCGCCUGCACCCAGGUGAUUAAAAGCUUUUUUGCUCACACAAAGCCUGUUUGAUGGUCUCUUCACACGGACGCGAGUGAAGUUUGGUGCCGUGACUCGGAUCAGGGGCCCUCCCUUGGGAGAUCAAUCCCCUGUCCUCCUGCUUUUUGCUCCAUGAGAAAGAUCCACCUACGACCUCAGGUCCUCAGACCCACCAGCCCAAGGAACAUCUCACCAAUUUUAAAUCGGAGAGAAAACUACAACCCAAGAAGCUUCUACUUCUUCUCUUCUGGAACUCUAUCUGGGGUCUCUGAGUUGCUGAAAAGAAGCCUGACUACCCACCUACACAUGCUAGAGAACAUCUAGACACUCCAUUCCCACCAGUGUGUUAAACAUUGAGCGAGCUGUCUUAGACCAUACUUACUCAUUCACCAGAUGAAUUCCACCUAGUGACUUCAGCUUAUAUCACGUGAAGAAGAAAAAUUGCCAACCUGAGCCCUUUCCAAAUUCCUGAUCCAAAAUCAUUAGAUAAAAUAAAAUGCCAAUUGUUUUAA
Molecule: long non-coding RNA, 555 nt
Organism: Pan troglodytes (chimpanzee)
Lineage: Eukaryota; Metazoa; Chordata; Mammalia; Primates; Hominidae
Exons: 2
Source: RefSeq, a predicted model, not a curated record